AGUGAACGCUGGCGGUAGGCCUAACACAUGCAAGUCGAACGGCAGCACAGUAAGAGCUUGCUCUUACGGGUGGCGAGUGGCGGACGGGUGAGGAAUACAUCGGAAUCUACUUUUUCGUGGGGGAUAACGUAGGGAAACUUACGCUAAUACCGCAUACGACCUACGGAUGAAAGCAGGGGAUCUUCGGACCUUGCGCGAUUGAAUGAGCCGAUGUCGGAUUAGCUAGUUGGCGGGGUAAAGGCCCACCAAGGCGACGAUCCGUAGCUGGUCUGAGAGGAUGAUCAGCCACACUGGAACUGAGACACGGUCCAGACUCCUACGGGAGGCAGCAGUGGGGAAUAUUGGACAAUGGGCGCAAGCCUGAUCCAGCCAUACCGCGUGGGUGAAGAAGGCCUUCGGGUUGUAAAGCCCUUUUGUUGGGAAAGAAAAGCAGCAGGUUAAUACCCCGCUGUUCUGACGGUACCCAAAGAAUAAGCACCGGCUAACUUCAUG
Molecule: ribosomal RNA, 492 nt
Filed under: uncultured bacterium
Lineage: Bacteria
Description: partial 16S ribosomal RNA
Rfam family: Bacterial small subunit ribosomal RNA
Source: RNAcentral